RNAcentral lists this ribosomal RNA (452 nucleotides) under uncultured bacterium. Its description in RNAcentral is "bacterial SSU rRNA". It matches the Rfam family "Bacterial small subunit ribosomal RNA", at positions 355 to 825 of the family's 1533-position model. The record is from RNAcentral.
UCGAGAAUCUUCCGCAAUGGACGAAAGUCUGACGGAGCGACGCCGCGUGAUGGAUGAAGUCCCUCUGGGACGUAAACAUCUUUUAUGAGGGAGAAAGUUUAUUGAUAGUACCUCACGAAUAAGGGGUUGCUAAACUCGUGCCGGCAGCAGCGGUAAUACGAGUGCCCCGAGCGUUAUCCGGAAUCAUUGGGCGUAAAGGGUGUGUAGGUGGCAUUGUUAGUCACACGUUAAACCCUGGGGCUUAACCCCAGAUCUGCGUGUGAUACGGCAAAGCUAGAGGAUGGCAGGGAUGUAUGGAACUCAUGGAGUAGGGGUGAAAUCCGUUGAUAUCAUGGGGAACACCGAAAGCGAAGGCAGUACAUUGGGCCACUCCUGACACUGAAACACGAAAGCGUGGGUAGCGAAUGGGAUUAGAUACCCCCGUAGUCCCUGAGCGGGCUGGCAAGGCGCAU